Molecule: long non-coding RNA, 815 nt
Organism: Oreochromis aureus
Lineage: Eukaryota; Metazoa; Chordata; Actinopteri; Cichliformes; Cichlidae
Source: Ensembl
UUUUCAGAAGCCCGGGGUCUUUUGGAGUGUAAUUUUUUCAUAGUUAGAUGCCUGACUGACAACUGUAUAAAACAAAACCUACACACAAUAUUCGAAGCACAUAGUGCACACUGUGGGAAUUUACGACUGUGCGUAAAUCCCCCCUAAUAUUGGUAUGAUCCGAGCUCAGACACUAAGCGACUGAGCGAGGGGGCGGGGGGAGCUGCUGCCUCGAGUGCGCUGUUGGAGAAACGCAGCCAGGCAGACAGAGGAGAGCUGAAGUUCUGCAGUUGUUACUCUCCACGGCUAAAUAAAUCGGUUUCAGUAAUGUACUGAUAUACAAGAAUGGACAGAAUGAGCUUCUUUCAAAGAAAAAACUCAGGUUUUAUGUGAAUCCCGGUGCCUCAGGGGGACAGCAUCCACAGCAACAGCACUCAGCCCACAGCUAACAGCACGGCUCACAUUAAGACACCAGACCUUAUCACUUUAACUGAGGACGAGCCGAGGGAGACCCCUGAAAAGUCGGACAGUCGGAUCCCUGCGUCUCCUGGAGCACCAGGCAGCAUGCACUGCUGGAUGCUGAAGGCCCCAGAUUCCCAGCUCUGCAUGGAGGCUGUGCGAACACAGGUCACUGAUGGUCUUGGUCACUCGGGCCUGUGAAUCCAGUUUCUGAAGAACUCCAUCAUCAUUGUCUGGAGGAAUAUCGCAGCAGGGUUCUCUCUGUCACAGUAAAGGAUCACAGCCAGUCCGCGAGUCUCGUCGUAGAUGAGGUGGUAACGAAACGACUAACCGACACGCAGGAUAUAGAGCGGAGUUGCAUCUCCACCGCGUCCAUC